UGUAAUAACACUAUCAGAAGGCAAAGAAGACUCAGAUUACACUGCACAAUUAACUGUCAGGAAUCAAGAGAGGAGUGUGUUACAAGAAAAGGAAGCCUAUGAAAGUAGAAAGUGUAGUGAGACAACAAAGGCUACACUCAGGUGAUAUUAAUCAAAAGAAAGUACAAUUAAAGUAAGAUUCAUGAAACCUCAAUAAAGAUUCAUUAUCUAAGAAGAACACAAC
Molecule: long non-coding RNA, 223 nt
Filed under: Musa acuminata (dwarf banana)
Lineage: Eukaryota; Viridiplantae; Streptophyta; Magnoliopsida; Zingiberales; Musaceae
Description: long non-coding RNA (MACU_LNC005434)
Source: RNAcentral